Molecule: ribosomal RNA, 512 nt
Filed under: uncultured bacterium
Lineage: Bacteria
Description: partial 16S ribosomal RNA
Rfam family: Bacterial small subunit ribosomal RNA
Source: RNAcentral
GAUGUACGCUGGCGGCAUGCCUAAUACAUGCAAGUCGAACGAGAGGAAGGGAAGCUUGCUUUUCUGAAUCUAGUGGCGAACGGGUGAGUAACACGUAGGUAACCUGCCCAUGUGCCCGGGAUAACUUCUGGAAACGGAUGCUAAAACCGGAUAGGUAGCAGACAAGCAUUUGACUGCUAUUAAAGUGGCUAAGGCCAUGAACAUGGAUGGACCUGCGGUGCAUUAGCUAGUUGGUGAGGUAACGGCCCACCAAGGCGACGAUGCAUAGCCGGCCUGAGAGGGCGGACGGCCACAUUGGGACUGAGACACGGCCCAAACUCCUACGGGAGGCAGCAGUAGGGAAUUUUCGUCAAUGGGGGGAACCCUGAACGAGCAAUGCCGCGUGAGUGAGGAAGGUCUUCGGAUCGUAAAGCUCUGUUGUAGGAGAAAAACGACAUUCAUAGGGAAUGAUGAGUGAGUGAUGGUAUCUUACCAGAAAGUCACGGCUAACUACGUGCCAGCCGCCGCGGUAA